Non-coding RNA from Podarcis lilfordi (Lilford's wall lizard), 75 nucleotides. NCBI's taxonomy places the organism in Eukaryota, Metazoa, Chordata, Lepidosauria, Squamata, Lacertidae. The record is from the annotation of a GenBank genome assembly.
AUCUCCUGUGGCGAAAUGGGUUAGUGCGUCUGUCUGUAAACCAGAAGGUUGGUAGUUCGAGCCCACUCAGGGAUG